This is a non-coding RNA of Pelobates cultripes (western spadefoot toad), 444 nucleotides long. NCBI's taxonomy places the organism in Eukaryota, Metazoa, Chordata, Amphibia, Anura, Pelobatidae. The record is from the annotation of a GenBank genome assembly.
GUCAACUAUAGUCUUAUCUACUGUCUUCUGUAAGUACUUCUGUAUGCAAGGGAGUACGCAACAGGUCAGAAAUAAGAAAAUGAUGGUCAUUAUAAGAACAGCUGCCCCCACCUGGAAGAGGGUCCUCUGCCAACCAUUCAUCCAUCCAAACCAUCUGUCCCAAGUGUCAGUGACUCCUGAAUUUUUCUUUAGCUCAUCUGCGAGAUUAUCCAGCUUCUCUAUAGCCAUAGUCACCUUACCAUUGGGCCCAGUGUUGUCUGGAAUGUAUGUACAGCAUGUCAUGGUCUCAGGGAGGAUUUUACAUACACCUCCUUUCUCAGCUAAAAUCAUAUCUAGAGCCAUUCUAUUCUGAAAUGUCAUUUGGGUAGUGGCUUGCAGUUGCUCUGCCAGGCCCUGUAGGGCAUCCCUGGUGUAGUUGACAAAGCUCUGUUGGUUAUAGUAGAU